AUUCAGCUGACGAGUCCCAAAUAGGACGAAACGCUCGUCCUAGAU
This 45-nucleotide non-coding RNA is filed under the name Schistosoma mansoni. The record is from RNAcentral. Lineage: Eukaryota; Metazoa; Platyhelminthes; Trematoda; Strigeidida; Schistosomatidae.